GAUGAACGCUGGCGGCGUGCUUAACACAUGCAAGUCGAACGAAGAGCGAUGGAGGCUUGCUUCUAUCAAUCUUCGUGGCGCGGGGGUGAGUAACGCGUAAUACCCAUGCACUUCAGAGGGAGAACACCGUUGGACACGACUGCUAAUCCCACAUACGAUCUAAUCUCGGCAUCGAGGAUAGAUGAACGGUGGCCUCUACACGUAUGCUAUCACUCACGGUGGGGAUUGCGUCUGAUUAGCUAGUUGGUGGGGUAACGGCCCACCAAGGCGACGAUCAGUAGCCGGUCUGAGAGGAUGAACGGCCACAUUGGAACCGAGACACGGCCCAGACUCCUACGGGAGGCAGCAGUGGGGAAUCUUCCGCAAUGGACGAAAGCCUGACGGAGCAACGCCGCGUGAGUGAUGACGGUCUUCGGAUUGUAAAGCUCAGUUAAUCGGGACGAAAGGCUGUGUAACGAACAGUGAGAAGGAUGGACGGAACCGGAAUAGAAGGCCCCGGCAAACUACGU
RNAcentral lists this ribosomal RNA (509 nucleotides) under uncultured bacterium. Its description in RNAcentral is "partial 16S ribosomal RNA". It matches the Rfam family "Bacterial small subunit ribosomal RNA", at positions 28 to 506 of the family's 1533-position model. The record is from RNAcentral.